Bufo bufo (common toad) is the source of this 708-nucleotide long non-coding RNA. RefSeq lists it as uncharacterized. The record is from RefSeq and is a predicted model, not a curated record. The transcript has 3 exons. NCBI's taxonomy places the organism in Eukaryota, Metazoa, Chordata, Amphibia, Anura, Bufonidae.
UUUGAGCAGACCAGAGGCGAUACUGUGUGUAGAAAAGUUGAGGGAUGGAAUAUUCUAGAUUGUAAUGAGACUUGCCCUGAUGAUCUAAUGAACAAGAGGCAGCCAGUGACAGUAUGUGAAAUACGUGAAGAAUAACCGUUCUUUUCAGGGCUGGGAGCCUUUUCUUCCCCUCCUUGCACAGUCUUUAAAUCAAACUAAUAUAAUUACCCAGGCAUUCCAAUAACCACAACUAAUUAUUCUGAAUUAAAUUUUAAUCCUGCUGCAUCUAUCAGGGCAGGGGGAAAAAAAACUAACUAUUUACCAGGCUGGGUGUUAUUUAAGAAAUAAAACUGCGUUUUGGUGCCUUUCAAAGUCAAUUAGCUAGUGAUGGCCAUUCCUCUCCCUCUCUGUCUGCACUCCUUUCUGAUUGUUUUUCUGGGCACGUUUUGCCCUAACUGCAAAUUACCAGUUGUAUGAAUUGCAGAGCAGCUGCCAUGCACAGAGCAGAGAGGAGCUGAGCACACUCCUUCUGCCACACUGGAGCCUGCACCAUGGAGGACCCUGGCACCUGAUGGUGAGACCCGGAGUGGACUGACAGGAGGUAUCCCUACCCAUAGAUAUCUGCUUUUAUCCCGUCAUUGACCUUCCUUUGAAGUUGCGGUUCCUAUGGAUGAUCAGAGUGAAAGAGAGAAUGACUGAACGAAUAUUCACAAAUAUGUGUAAGUUGAA